AGUGGCGGACGGGUGAGUAACGCGUGAGAAUCUGCCUUCGGGUCGGGGACAACCACUGGAAACGGUGGCUAAUACCGGAUAAGCCGAUUGGUGAAAGAUUUAUUGCCCGAAGAGGAGCUCGCGUCUGAUUAGCUAGUUGGUGAGGUAAGAGCUCACCAAGGCAGCGAUCAGUAGCUGGUCUGAGAGGACGAUCAGCCACACUGGGACUGAGACACGGCCCAGACUCCUACGGGAGGCAGCAGUGGGGAAUUUUCCGCAAUGGGCGAAAGCCUGACGGAGCAAGACCGCGUGAGGGAGGAAGGCUCUUGGGUUGUAAACCUCUUUUCUCAGGGAAGAAGCUCUGACGGUACCUGAGGAAUCAGCCUCGGCUAACUCCGUGCCAGCAGCCGCGGUAAUACGGAGGAGGCAAGCGUUAUCCGGAAUUAUUGGGCGUAAAGCGUCCGCAGGUGGCGAUUCAAGUCUGCUGUCAAAGCACGGGGCUUAACUCCGUAAAGGCAGUGGAAACUGAAUAGCUAGAGUGCCGUAGGGGUAGAGGGAAUUCCCGGUGUAGCGGUGAAAUGCGUAGAGAUCGGGAAGAACAUCGGUGGCGAAAGCGCUACUGGACGGCAACUGACACUCAGGGACGAAAGCUAGGGGAGCGAAUGGGAUUAGAUACCCC
This 658-nucleotide ribosomal RNA is filed under the name uncultured bacterium. Its description in RNAcentral is "bacterial SSU rRNA". It matches the Rfam family "Bacterial small subunit ribosomal RNA", at positions 94 to 788 of the family's 1533-position model. The record is from RNAcentral.